GAUGAACGCUGGCGGCGUGCCUAAUACAUGCAAGUCGAGCGAACGGACGAGAAGCUUGCUUUUCUUAUGUUAGCGGCGGACGGGUGAGUAACACGUGGAUAACCUACCUAUAAGACUGGGAUAACUUCGGGAAACCGGAGCUAAUACCGGAUAAUAUUUUGAACCGCAUGGUUCAAAAGUGAAAGACGGUCUUGCUGUCACUUAUAGAUGGAUCCGCGCUGCAUUAGCUAGUUGGUAAGGUAACGGCUUACCAAGGCAACGAUGCAUAGCCGACCUGAGAGGGUGAUCGGCCACACUGGAACUGAGACACGGUCCAGACUCCUACGGGAGGCAGCAGUAGGGAAUCUUCCGCAAUGGGCGAAAGCCUGACGGAGCAACGCCGCGUGAGUGAUGAAGGUCUUCGGAUCGUAAAACUCUGUUAUUAGGGAAGAACAUAUGUGUAAGAAACUGUGCACAUCUUGACGGUACCUAAUCAGAAAGCCACGGCUAACUACGUG
RNAcentral lists this ribosomal RNA (497 nucleotides) under uncultured bacterium. RNAcentral describes it as "partial 16S ribosomal RNA". It matches the Rfam family "Bacterial small subunit ribosomal RNA", at positions 28 to 507 of the family's 1533-position model. The record is from RNAcentral.